CCUACGGGAGGCAGCAGUGGGGAAUUUUGGACAAUGGGGGCAACCCUGAUCCAGCCAUUCCGCGUGAGUGAAGAAGGCCUUCGGGUUGUAAAGCUCUUUCGCAAGGGAAGAAAACUUAUGAUCGAAUAAAUCAUGAGGUUGACGGUACCUUGAUAAGAAGCACCGGCUAACUACGUGCCAGCAGCCGCGGUAAUACGUAGGGUGCGAGCGUUAAUCGGAAUUACUGGGCGUAAAGCGUGCGCAGGCGGUUCUGUAAGUCGGAUGUGAAAUCCCCGGGCUCAACCUGGGAACUGUGUUCGAAACUGCAAGGCUAGAGUGUGUCAGAGGGGGGUAGAAUUCCACGUGUAGCAGUGAAAUGCGUAGAGAUGUGGAGGAAUACCAAUGGCGAAGGCAGCCCCCUGGGAUAACACUGACGCUCAUGCACGAAAGCGUGGGGAGCAAACAGGAUUAGAUACCCUGGUAGUCCACGCCCUAAACGAUGUACAACUAGUUGUUGGUAGAGUAAAUCUAUGAGUAACGUAGACUACGCGUGAGUAGACGCCGNGGGAGGUACGGUCGGUCGAGAAGUUAAACGUUAACGUAAAGUUAAGUUAGUAGACGNGNGAGAGCGACGACGACGACGACGGAGGAGGAGG
RNAcentral lists this ribosomal RNA (635 nucleotides) under uncultured bacterium. Its description in RNAcentral is "bacterial SSU rRNA". The stretch from base 1 to 542 matches the Rfam family "Bacterial small subunit ribosomal RNA", at positions 338 to 873 of the family's 1533-position model. The record is from RNAcentral.